UGUAAACAUCAGAGAAAAAAAGCUUAAUAAAAAUACAAAGAAACUAAACUGGUGCAUGGUAGCUAGAAACAAUAUAAAAGGUACAUGCCAGGGGAGGGAAACAAGGUGUCUGUGUUUGCUGUUCACGGUUGUGUGUGAUGAUUUCCUAUCAUCACACACAACCAUAAAAACCAUUAAAUAACACCCGCAAGGAUUCAUCUUGAGAGAAUACAUGAUUAUUCAAAACAUCGAUCACUAAACUACAGCAGAAUUCUUAUCCUAGGAGGUUGGGGUUAGACAGGGGAAGGUGAUGACACUGAGGACAGGGUGAGUUGUUUAAGGUACGGCAGUGAAGAAAAGUGCUGAAUGAAUGAAAAAUCAUCCCCCACAUUCAUAGUGCUGGAGUAAAGUACUGCAUCAGAGUAUAUCUGUACCUACCUACAUCUCUAGUCUUAACAGCAUGUCAAGUCACAGGAGUAUUAGUUACAGGACACACCAGCACGCCACCAGAUACACUCUGUGGAGUUAAAUUAUUUACAAGUGUUUCAUAAGAAUGGCAAAUGUGAACAAGGUUCUGUGAAAACCAAAACUUCACAUUAAUUUCACAUUU
This is a long non-coding RNA of Etheostoma cragini (Arkansas darter), 589 nucleotides long. RefSeq lists it as uncharacterized. The record is from RefSeq and is a predicted model, not a curated record. The transcript has 3 exons. Lineage: Eukaryota; Metazoa; Chordata; Actinopteri; Perciformes; Percidae.